AACGUAGGAGGCAAGCGUUGUCCGGAUUUAUUGGGCGUAAAGAGCGUGUAGGCGGCCAGACAGGUCCGUUGUGAAAACUCGAGGCUCAACCUCGAGAUGUCGAUGGAAACCGUCUGGCUAGAGUCCGGAAGAGGAGUGUGGAAUUCCUGGUGUAGCGGUGAAAUGCGCAGAUAUCAGGAAGAACACCUAUGGCGAAGGCAGCACUCUGGGACGGUACUGACGCUGAGACGCGAAAGCGUGGGGAGCGAACAGG
This 253-nucleotide ribosomal RNA is filed under the name uncultured bacterium. Its description in RNAcentral is "partial 16S ribosomal RNA". It matches the Rfam family "Bacterial small subunit ribosomal RNA", at positions 524 to 776 of the family's 1533-position model. The record is from RNAcentral.